UGGGGAAUUUUGGACAAUGGGCGCAAGCCUGAUCCAGCCAUGCCGCGUGUCUGAAGAAGGCCUUCGGGUUGUAAAGGACUUUUGUCAGGGAAGAAAAGGACAGGGUUAAUACCUCUGUUUGAUGACGGUACCUGAAGAAUAAGCACCGGCUAACUACGUGCCAGCAGCCGCGGUAAUACGUAGGGUGCGAGCGUUAAUCGGAAUUACUGGGCGUAAAGCGAGCGCAGACGGUUACUUAAGCAGGAUGUGAAAUCCCCGGGCUCAACCUGGGAACUGCGUUCUGAACUGGGUGACUAGAGUGUGUCAGAGGGAGGUAGAAUUCCACGUGUAGCAGUGAAAUGCGUAGAGAUGUGGAGGAAUACCGAUGGCGAAGGCAGCCUCCUGGGAUAACACUGACGUUCAUGCUCGAAAGCGUGGGUAGCAAACAGGAUUAGAUACCCUGGUAGUCCACGCCCUAAACGAUGUCAAUUAGCUGUUGGGCAACUUGAUUGCUUAGUAGCGUAGCUAACGCGUGAAAUUGACGCCCUGGGGAGUACGGUCGCAAGAUUA
This 549-nucleotide ribosomal RNA is filed under the name uncultured bacterium. RNAcentral describes it as "bacterial SSU rRNA". It matches the Rfam family "Bacterial small subunit ribosomal RNA", at positions 355 to 896 of the family's 1533-position model. The record is from RNAcentral.